AGCGAACGCUGGCGGCAUGCCUAACACAUGCAAGUCGAACGGCAGCAUCGUAAUAGCUUGCUCUUACGGGCGUCGAGUGGCGGACUGUUGAGGUAUACAUCGGAAUCCACUUUUUCGCGGCUGAUAACGUCGGGAAAUUAACGCUAAUCCCGCAUACGACGUACGAGUGUAAGCACGGGUUCUUCUGACCUUUCGCUAUUGUAUGAGCCAAGGUCGGAUUAGAUAGCUGGCGGGGUUAAGGCCCACCAAGGCGACGGUCCGUAUCUGGUAUGACAGGGUGAUCAGCCACACUGGAAGUGAGGCGCGGCCCAGACUCCUACGGGGGGCAGCGGUGGGGAAUAUUGGACGAGGGGCGCAAGCCUGAUCUAGCAAUACGGGGUGGGUGAAGAAGGACUUCGGGUUGUAGAGCGCUUUUGUUGGGAGAGAAGAACAGCAGGUUAAUACCCCGCUGUUCUGACGGUACCCAAAGAAUAAGCACCGGCUAACUUCGUG
This 492-nucleotide ribosomal RNA is filed under the name uncultured bacterium. RNAcentral's name for it is "partial 16S ribosomal RNA". It matches the Rfam family "Bacterial small subunit ribosomal RNA", at positions 29 to 507 of the family's 1533-position model. The record is from RNAcentral.